CUCUGAGCCAUCACAUUGGCCCAGGGCAAAGGAG
Molecule: non-coding RNA, 34 nt
Filed under: Lentilactobacillus parafarraginis F0439
Lineage: Bacteria; Bacillati; Bacillota; Bacilli; Lactobacillales; Lactobacillaceae
Source: RNAcentral